UGUGAAUGGCAGACCAAAAGACAAGUACAAAAAUCACCAAAAAUUGUCAAAACUUAUCCGCCUCAUUUCUCUUCAACCUUAUCUCUUUAUCUCAUAACAAAAGGGUCUAGAAGAAUCUAGACACUCCACACCUAAUCAAAUUUGUGCUCCCUCUCCACGCUCUGAUUGUGAUCAUGAUCAAAGUCAAAUAAAACCACCAAAAAUAACAAAAAAAAUCUCAAAAUUGCCAUCGCUUGUUCUUACCCUAUUACCCUCAUUUUAACUUAAUUUCUAAGCCUAGAACUUUCCUUAAGACUCUAUAAAAGGAGUAUGGACAGAAGGAAAAAAUGUUAGAGUCUAAAGAGAGGCAAAGAUUAAGAUUCAUCCACUUUUUCUCCAUUUUCACAAAAUUUCGAAAAUCAUCAAAACCAUCACAAACCUUCCAUAACCAACAAGAAAAAAACGCAAGAAAAGCAUCAAAGAAGCAUACCCAAACCACCAAAAUUGCCAAGAAAAGAGUUGGAAUCAACCACCAAACCAGGGGGCUUGAAACAAUACAUAAGUCAAUUAUAGCCAUUUGAUCAUGGAAUUGUUUUGCCACGUGUUACGAUCUGAAUUUGUGACACUGUGAGCCUUGUCACACACGAUCACACUCAGAUCACACAGCUGCGAAAUCGCUCGUCUACGCCGUCGCCGUUUCAAAGCUUCUUCUCCAUCGUCUUCUCCGUUUCAAAGCUUCUUCUCCGUCGUCUUCUCCGUUCUCUCCAUCGUCUGUUCAUUGUAGUACUAGAGUAAGCUUCUUCUCCAUCGCUGUUUCAAAGCUUCUUCUCCGUCGUCUUCUCCGUUUCAAAGCUUCUUCUCCGUCGUCUUCUUCAUUCUCUCCAUCGUCUGUUCAUUGUAGUACUAGAGGAUCAAGCUGCGACAAUCAUACGUAAGUUGCUGGGAUUAAUCAGGGAUCAAGCUGCGACAAUCAUACGUUCUACUCGGGGGUUGUUAUUGGAGCUACGGAGGUAUUACUAAGUGGUGUACCAUCAUUAUCAAUAUCAUUAGAUUGGUAAUUUGGUGAUUCUAUACAUCUGGAGCUUAAUCAGGGACCAUAUGUAUGAUGAAUUUAUUGUUCAAGGACCUUAUCUUUCUGAAGCUUGGGAGGUUUAUGAAUGGAGAAAAAAAGAGAAACCAUUGAUGAUGAAUUGGAAAGUUCAUUCUUUGAACAAUGAAAUUGAUAUGAAGAAUAGUCUCAGAUUAUGGGCACACCGUGUUGCUUCCACUGUUAGAUGAAAUGAAGUUCUUCAUAUUUCAUAAUCUAUUUUUUUCUUCUUCUUAAAAUAUACAUUUUUGCUAAAUAAUGUAUUUACUCUUGAAUUGUA
This is a long non-coding RNA of Trifolium pratense (red clover), 1346 nucleotides long. RefSeq lists it as uncharacterized. The record is from RefSeq and is a predicted model, not a curated record. The transcript has 4 exons. Lineage: Eukaryota; Viridiplantae; Streptophyta; Magnoliopsida; Fabales; Fabaceae.